UGGGGAAUUUUGGACAAUGGGCGAAAGCCUGAUCCAGCAAUGCCGCGUGUGUGAAGAAGGCCUUCGGGUUGUAAAGCACUUUUGUCCGGAAAGAAAUCCUUGGCUCUAAUACAGUCGGGGGAUGACGGUACCGGAAGAAUAAGCACCGGCUAACUACGUGCCAGCAGCCGCGGUAAUACGUAGGGUGCAAGCGUUAAUCGGAAUUACUGGGCGUAAAGCGUGCGCAGGCGGUUUGCUAAGACCGAUGUGAAAUCCCCGGGCUCAACCUGGGAACUGCAUUGGUGACUGGCAGGCUAGAGUAUGGCAGAGGGGGGUAGAAUUCCACGUGUAGCAGUGAAAUGCGUAGAGAUGUGGAGGAAUACCGAUGGCGAAGGCAGCCCCCUGGGCCAAUACUGACGCUCAUGCACGAAAGCGUGGGGAGCAAACAGGAUUAGAUACCCUGGUAGUCCACGCCCUAAAACGAUGUCAACUAGUUGUUGGGGAUUCAUUUCCUUAGUAACGUAGCUAACGCGUGAAGUUGACCGCCUGGGGAGUACGUCGCAAGAUUAAAACUUAAAUGAAUUGACGGGGUCAUAGCUGUUUCCU
RNAcentral lists this ribosomal RNA (585 nucleotides) under uncultured bacterium. RNAcentral describes it as "partial 16S ribosomal RNA". It matches the Rfam family "Bacterial small subunit ribosomal RNA", at positions 355 to 1375 of the family's 1533-position model. The record is from RNAcentral.